Vicia villosa (hairy vetch) is the source of this 1583-nucleotide RNA transcript. RefSeq lists it as uncharacterized. Lineage: Eukaryota; Viridiplantae; Streptophyta; Magnoliopsida; Fabales; Fabaceae. The record is from RefSeq and is a predicted model, not a curated record. The transcript has 5 exons.
CUCUUCUCUUCCCCAAAUUUUCUUGAAACCCUAAAUAAUUUUGUUCAAAGCAUGCUCUUCUUCUGCAGACAUGAAGAGCUUCACACGCCACCCUCACUUGUCAUAUCUUCCUUCGCACACGUCUCCUACCAUCUCUCUCAUCAGGUUCUAUACUUCUCCAUCUCUCUUUCCAACCAAUAACAAAUACCUCUUCCAACAAUCUUCUACUCUCAAGUUCGCAAGUUCGCAAUGGCAAGACCUUUCCAUAAGCUGAAUGACAUCAAUGAAAGUAAGGAAAUAUGGAAAAUUGCAGUCAGAAUCCAUCACAAGUGGAGAGAUUACUCAUUAUGUUACUAUAGUAAAAACAUUCAGACUCAAAGCUGCACCUGAGGGAUGGUAUUACCGAGCUUUCUAUUAUCUUUGAGUUGGUUGUAUUUGUUCCUAAUUACAAUGUCAGCGUUGGUGAAAUGCUAAUUCCUGCCAGUGAACUGUCCCAACACAUUCGGUAUAGAUAAAUUGUUUUUAACAAAAUAUUUUAUAUUUAAUUUACAAUAAAUUUAGCAGUUUUGGUUUUUGAAUGCUUUUUUUCUGAGCAUUUAGCACAGUUGGUAUGGAGGCCAGUGGAACAACCAACAUGAAAUUUGCAAUGAAUGGAUGUGUACAAAUUGGAACUCUGGACGGGGCUAACAUUGAAAUAAGAUAAGAAGUUGGAAAAACAACUUAUUUCUUUUUGGCGCACGAGCUCAAUAAAUUGUAGGGCUAAGGAAAGAAAGAGCAUAGGAAAAGGUAUGUUUAUUAACAAUCAGAAACCAGAAUAAUUGAUUCAAUGAAAUUGUUCAUUUUCUUUCCCAAAAUAUAUUUAUCUAACGUUCAAAGAGUCUUCUAUAGAUCCUUUAAGGCAUUGUUAAUUAAGUCGAAGCCAACCAAAUUAGGUAAAGAACUUUGUUUAGCUGCUUAUGGAGCGUAUGUGCGUCCUAUGCCAUAUUCAAACGAGAUUGGUUUGCGAAUGCUUAUAGGCGGGGUUGUCAGGGAGGCUGUUGUGUUGGGGUACCAUAUAACUCUGUUGUUUUCAUACUAUGCUUAUCAUGGACCUGUUUUUCGAGUCUUGCUCAGGUUGAAUCGUGGGAAGGUUCAUGACAGUAGGCAUUAGGGUUUUAUUGUGCAUUGCCACUAGUGUGGAAAUUCCAAUGAAUUUUCUUGGGACCAACUCGGUCAGUUCAGUUGCUUCUGCAGUGUGUCAAAGGUUUCAAACUCCCUUAAGGUAUCAGGACCUCUUUGGACAGGGGCUCUUCAUGAUGCAGAGUAUCUUACAGACACGUUAGAUCUGGCCAAGCAGUGGGGAUGGAUUGGCUAUGAUGGUAAAGACAGUCUUGAAAAGCUUAUAAACUUGAUGGUUGAUGAGUGUAACAAAGAUGGGCCUUACUUUGACUUAGAUGAUUGAGAAUCCAUAUGCAUUUUAUAGUGCUAUUUACAAUAAUGAUUACGAUGAAAUAGAGUGAUUCCCAUUGUUAUGUGAAAUUCAUGCUAGCUAAGGGCAAUUCUUUCGUUGUCUAUCUCAAUCUCAGUUUAGUUAGGAUUUUCUUUAUAAUAUUAUAUGAUCAUCU